This is a non-coding RNA of Streptomyces violaceusniger Tu 4113, 75 nucleotides long. The record is from Rfam. NCBI's taxonomy places the organism in Bacteria, Bacillati, Actinomycetota, Actinomycetes, Kitasatosporales, Streptomycetaceae.
CUUGAUGGAGCCGAGCAGCAGGGGCCGCUCGGGGUCCCGCUCCUGCCCGUAGGUGGCCAGCAGCGCCUGCGCCUC